Molecule: ribosomal RNA, 460 nt
Filed under: uncultured bacterium
Lineage: Bacteria
Description: partial 16S ribosomal RNA
Rfam family: Bacterial small subunit ribosomal RNA
Source: RNAcentral
CCUACGGGUGGCAGCAGUGAGGAAUAUUGGUCAAUGGCCGGAAGGCUGAACCAGCCAUGCCGCGUGAAGGUCAGUGCCCUAUGGGCGUUAAACUUCUUUUGUGCGGGAGCAAUAAUGGUCACGUGUGGUCCGACGAGAGUACCGUAAGAAUAAGCAUUGGCUAACUCCGUGCCAGCAGCCGCGGUAAUACGGGGGAUGCAAGCGUUAUCCGGAUUUAUUGGGGUUAAAGGGUGCGGAGGCUGUGAGGUAAGUCAGCGGUGAAAUGCCCCCGGUUAACGGGGUGAAGUGCCAUUGAUACUGGCUGGCUGGAGUGCGGAUGACGUGGGAGGAAUGUGUGGUGUAGCGGUGAAAUGCAUAGAUAUCACACAGAACACCGAUUGCGAAGGCAGCUCACGGGUCCGCGAUUGACGCUGAUGCACGAAAGCGUGGGUAUCAAACAGGAUUAGAUACCCCAGUAGUC